GACGAACGCUGGCGGCGUGCUUAACACAUGCAAGUCGAACGGAAAGACCCUGCUUUUGUGGGGUGCUCGAGUGGCGAACGGGUGAGUAACACGUGAGUAACCUGCCCUUGACUUUGGGAUAACUUCAGGAAACUGGGGCUAAUACCGGAUAGGAGCUCCUGCUGCAUGGUGGGGGUUGGAAAGUUUCGGCGGUUGGGGAUGGACUCGCGGCUUAUCAGCUUGUUGGUGGGGUAGUGGCUUACCAAGGCUUUGACGGGUAGCCGGCCUGAGAGGGUGACCGGCCACAUUGGGACUGAGAUACGGCCCAGACUCCUACGGGAGGCAGCAGUGGGGAAUAUUGCACAAUGGGCGGAAGCCUGAUGCAGCGGCGCCGCGUGCGGGAUGACGGCCUUCGGGUUGUAAACCGCUUUCGCCUGUGACGAAGCGUGAGUGACGGUAAUGGGUAAAGAAGCACCGGCUAACUACGUG
This 468-nucleotide ribosomal RNA is filed under the name uncultured bacterium. RNAcentral describes it as "partial 16S ribosomal RNA". It matches the Rfam family "Bacterial small subunit ribosomal RNA", at positions 28 to 507 of the family's 1533-position model. The record is from RNAcentral.